Molecule: small nucleolar RNA, 138 nt
Organism: Tachyglossus aculeatus (Australian echidna)
Lineage: Eukaryota; Metazoa; Chordata; Mammalia; Monotremata; Tachyglossidae
Source: RefSeq, a predicted model, not a curated record
UCCCUCUCAGUGUAGCACCUGAAGAGUUUCCAGGACUCUACCAGUUUUGACUAUGGGUGGGAGAAUCAAGCAGAGGCAUACCCAUUCCAUUCCUAGCUUGGUCAGUGGCUAGUGAGUGGAAGGCACUCUGCUACAAGU